UCUCCGUAGGUGAACCAGCGGAGGGAUCAUUACUAAGAAGAGAUUUAUGGCACUUUAUUAAAUCGAUAUCCACUUUGUGUGCAAGCGGGAUGUUGAUUUUUCUCUGGGGAGGAGCAGCCGCAAACAGCAACUAUAGGACAACUCUUUCUCUGAAAAAUAUGAUUAAUAAAACAAUGCAAAAUACAACUUUCAACAACUGAUCUCUUGUCUCUCGCAUCUAUGAAAAACGCAACAGAUCUCAACAACACACCUCUGAACUCCAGUCUCGCAUAGGAACGC
RNAcentral lists this unclassified non-coding RNA (279 nucleotides) under plant metagenome. Its description in RNAcentral is "partial contains small subunit ribosomal RNA, internal transcribed spacer 1, and 5.8S ribosomal RNA". The record is from RNAcentral.